Molecule: ribosomal RNA, 482 nt
Filed under: uncultured bacterium
Lineage: Bacteria
Description: partial 16S ribosomal RNA
Rfam family: Bacterial small subunit ribosomal RNA
Source: RNAcentral
GACGAACGCUGGCGGCGUGCUUAACACAUGCAAGUCGAACGAUGAAGCUGGAGCUUGCUCCGGUGGAUUAGUGGCGAACGGGUGAGUAACACGUGAGCAAUCUGCCCUUGACUCUGGGAUAACUGCGGGAAACUGUAGCUAAUACCGGAUACGAGACCUGAAGGCAUCUUCGGGUCAGGAAAGAAUUUCGGUCAAGGAUGAGCUCGCGGCCUAUCAGCUUGUUGGUGAGGUAAUGGCUCACCAAGGCGACGACGGGUAGCCGGCCUGAGAGGGUGACCGGCCACACUGGGACUGAGACACGGCCCAGACUCCUACGGGAGGCAGCAGUGGGAAUAUUGCACAAUGGGCGAAAGCCUGAUGCAGCAACGCCGCGUGAGGGAUGAAGGCCUUCGGGUUGUAAACCUCUUUUAGCAGGGAAGAAGCGAAAGUGACGGUACCUGCAGAAAAAGCACCGGCUAACUACGUGCCAGCCGCCGCGGUAA